UACGUAGGGUGCAAGCGUUAAUCGGAAUUACUGGGCGUAAAGCGUGCGCAGGCGGUGAUGUAAGGCAGGUGUGAAAUCCCCGGGCUCAACCUGGGAACUGCAUUUGUGACUGCAUCGCUGGAGUGCGGCAGAGGGGGAUGGAAUUCCGCGUGUAGCAGUGAAAUGCGUAGAUAUGCGGAGGAACACCGAUGGCGAAGGCAAUCCCCUGGGCCUGCACUGACGCUCAUGCACGAAAGCGUGGGGAGCAAACAGG
This 253-nucleotide ribosomal RNA is filed under the name uncultured bacterium. Its description in RNAcentral is "partial 16S ribosomal RNA". It matches the Rfam family "Bacterial small subunit ribosomal RNA", at positions 524 to 776 of the family's 1533-position model. The record is from RNAcentral.